Long non-coding RNA from Betta splendens (Siamese fighting fish), 460 nucleotides. RefSeq lists it as uncharacterized. The transcript is spliced from 2 exons. Lineage: Eukaryota; Metazoa; Chordata; Actinopteri; Anabantiformes; Osphronemidae. The record is from RefSeq and is a predicted model, not a curated record.
AGACGGCUAUAUGGAAGCCAAAGAAACAGACACAGAAUCUCUGGAAACAAGUGCAGCUCGAGGUUUAACAACUUGUCGCUACAACAAACAAAAACUGGCAAAUCGCCUGCUCACUGCUCCUUUCUUUGACCUCUGACCUCUCCACUGCAGCAUGUCGAGCAGCACACGAUGAGUCAAGUGUAACCCUUUUGCAGAUAAAAGCCAAACUAACCUGGAGAGUCAGGAUCAGUUUCUCCUCCUGUUCCGUCCUGAAGUUACUUCAGCACUGAACUGAAGUCCAGACCUGCAGCCUGCUGCUCUAUGUGGACAGCCUGCUGCUCUAUGUGGACAUCAGGCCUGUAAAUCUUUGCAUUCAAAGUGCCGACAGCAGGGCGUCACCAAUGGCUUCAGCCUCAUCUCCAGCCGGUUUAAACUAACUGUGGAGCAGCUGCAACAGGAAAUAAAGGCUUUUAUAACUUUC